RNAcentral lists this ribosomal RNA (394 nucleotides) under Escherichia coli. RNAcentral's name for it is "bacterial SSU rRNA". It matches the Rfam family "Bacterial small subunit ribosomal RNA", at positions 1 to 391 of the family's 1533-position model. Lineage: Bacteria; Pseudomonadati; Pseudomonadota; Gammaproteobacteria; Enterobacterales; Enterobacteriaceae. RNAcentral also lists the same sequence under 1 other name. The record is from RNAcentral.
AAAUUGAAGAGUUUGAUCAUGGCUCAGAUUGAACGCUGGCGGCAGGCCUAACACAUGCAAGUCGAACGGUAACAGGAAGCAGCUUGCUGCUUCGCUGACGAGUGGCGGACGGGUGAGUAAUGUCUGGGAAACUGCCUGAUGGAGGGGGAUAACUACUGGAAACGGUAGCUAAUACCGCAUAACGUCGCAAGACCAAAGAGGGGGACCUUCGGGCCUCUUGCCAUCGGAUGUGCCCAGAUGGGAUUAGCUUGUUGGUGGGGUAACGGCUCACCAAGGCGACGAUCCCUAGCUGGUCUGAGAGGAUGACCAGCCACACUGGAACUGAGACACGGUCCAGACUCCUACGGGAGGCAGCAGUGGGGAAUAUUGCACAAUGGGCGCAAGCCUGAUGCAG